RNAcentral lists this unclassified non-coding RNA (24 nucleotides) under Mus musculus (house mouse). RNAcentral's name for it is "oocyte_clustered_small_RNA12976". The record is from RNAcentral. Lineage: Eukaryota; Metazoa; Chordata; Mammalia; Rodentia; Muridae.
UGCAAGCCUUGCUGACCUAGAUGU